Molecule: unclassified non-coding RNA, 444 nt
Filed under: Hevea brasiliensis (rubber tree)
Lineage: Eukaryota; Viridiplantae; Streptophyta; Magnoliopsida; Malpighiales; Euphorbiaceae
Source: RNAcentral
GUUGAUAUUGGGUAGAGAAAAUUUGUCAUCCUUCAAAAAAUGAUUUAAAGGCUUAUAAUCAAUCACGAGCCUUUUCUUUCCCCUGAUUUUUUCUAAUCUUUUUUCUACAUAAAAGGCCUAACAUGCCCAUGUUGAGUUUGUGGGUUCAAUGAGGCCUUGUUGGAGGAGCUGCUGGCAUUCCUGUUGAGCCAAAGAGAGUUCUGUAGGAGUCAUUACAGGAUGUGUUGUCUUUGUGAGAUUGAUGUCUUCAUUAAGCUUAAAGGAAAGCUUAAUAAAGAACUUUUCAUUUUUCCAUAAUGGUGUAGGAUGAGAAAAAUCUGCAUGAGAGUCUGCACAAGAAAGCAUUAAAAGAUCUCUAUAUUUCUGAAAGUCUGGAGGAGCUACAGAGAGUGAGAACAUCUUUUGAAUUGUGGUAAAAGAUUUAAAAAACCUUUUAUAUUUUAU